RNAcentral lists this ribosomal RNA (1903 nucleotides) under human oral metagenome. RNAcentral's name for it is "bacterial LSU rRNA". It matches the Rfam family "Bacterial large subunit ribosomal RNA", at positions 3 to 1977 of the family's 2925-position model. The record is from RNAcentral.
UCAAGUGAAUAAGUGCACACGGUGGAUGCCUUGGCGACAACAGGCGAAGAAGGACGUGGAAAUCUGCGAAAAGCCCCGGGAAGCCGAUAACAGGCAAUGAUCCGGGGAUCUCCGAAUGGGGCAACCCGACCUUAGGGUCAUCCGUAGUUGAAUACAUAGACUGCGGAAGCGAACCGGGAGAACUGAAACAUCUAAGUACCCCGAGGAAAAGAAAUCAACCGAGAUUCCGCAAGUAGCGGCGAGCGAACGCGGAGAAGCCCAAUUAAGUUGCGUAUGAGCUAGUAGAACAUUCUGGGAAGGAUGGCCACAGAGGGUGAUAGCCCCGUAUACGAAAGCCAUACACAAUGAAUCGAGUAGGGCGGGACACGUGAAAUCCUGUCUGAAGAUGGGGGGACCAUCCUCCAAGGCUAAAUACUCGUUGUCGACCGAUAGUGAACCAGUACCGUGAGGGAAAGGCGAAAAGAACCCUGGUGAAGGGAGUGAAAUAGAACCUGAAACCGUGUGCAUACAAGCAGUCAGAGCAUAUAAAGAUAUGUGAUGGCGUACCUUUUGUAUAAUGGGUCAGCGAGUUACAUUCAGUGGCGAGGUUAACCGGAUAGGGGAGCCGUAGCGAAAGCGAGUCUUAAGAGGGCGACAAGUCUCUGGGUGUAGACCCGAAACCGGGCGAUCUAUCCAUGGGCAGGUUGAAGGUUGAGUAACAUCAACUGGAGGACCGAACCCACGCAUGUUGAAAAAUGCGGGGAUGACCUGUGGAUAGGAGUGAAAGGCUAAACAAGCUCGGAGAUAGCUGGUUCUCCCCGAAAACUAUUGAGGUAGUGCCUUGUAGAUUGACUUGCGGGGGUAGAGCACUGUUUCGGCUAGGGGGUCAUACCGACUUACCAACCCGAUGCAAACUCCGAAUACCGCAAAGUUUUACUACAGGAGACACACGGCGGGUGCUAACGUCCGUCGUGAAGAGGGAAACAACCCAGACCGCCAGCUAAGGUCCCGAAAUGACAGUUCAGUGGGAAACGAAGUGGGAAGGCUUAGACAGCUAGGAGGUUGGCUUAGAAGCAGCCAUCCUUUAAAGAAAGCGUAAUAGCUCACUAGUCGAGUCGUCCUGCGCGGAAGAUUUACCGGGGCUAAACUGUCUACCGAAGCUGCGGAUUUGCAUGAAAAUGCAAGUGGUAGGGGAGCGUUGUGUAAGCUGAUGAAGGUGUGUUGAGAAGCAUGCUGGAGGUAUCACAAGUGCGAAUGCUGACAUGAGUAACGAUAAUGCGGGUGUAAAACCUGCACACCGAAAACCCAAGGUUUCCUGCGCAACGCUAAUCGGCGCAGGGUGAGUCGGCCCCUAAGGCGAGGCGGAAACGCGUAGUCGAUGGGAAACAGGUUAAUAUUCCUGUACUGAUCAUAAUUGCGAUGGGGGGACGGAGAAAGCUAGGCCAGCACACUGUUGGAUGUGUGUUUAAACGCGUAGGUUGGGGACUUAGGCAAAUCCGGGUUUCCAAGACUGAAACGUGAUGACGAGUUUCUACGGAAACGAAGUGGUUGAUGCUCUGCUUCCAGGAAAAGCCUCUAAGCUUCAGAUUAUGACAACCGUACCCCAAACCGACACAGGUGGGUAGGAAGAGAAUUCCAAGGUGCUUGAGAGAACUCGGGUAAAGGAACUCGGCAAAAUGAUACCGUAACUUCGGGAUAAGGUAUGCCUCUGACGGUGCAUAGCUGUUGGAGGCCGCAGAGAAUAGGCCGCUGCGACUGUUUAUCAAAAACACAGCACUCUGCAAACACGCAAGUGGACGUAUAGGGUGUGACGCCUGCCCGGUGCCGGAAGGUUAAUUGAUGGGGUGCAAGCUCUUGAUCGAAGCCCCGGUAAACGGCGGCCGUAACUAUAACGGUCCUAAGGUAGCGAAAUUCCUUGUCGGGU